CCUACGGGAGGCAGCAGUGAGGAAUAUUGGUCAAUGGACGAGAGUCUGAACCAGCCAAGUAGCGUGAAGGAUGACUGCCCUAUGGGUUGUAAACUUCUUUUAUAUGGGAAUAAAAUGUCCCACGGGUGGGAUUUUGUAUGUACCAUAUGCAUAAGGAUCGGCUAACUCCGUGCCAGCAGCCGCGGUAAUACGGAUGAUCCGAGCGUUAUCCGGAUUUAAUGGGUUUAAAGGGAGCGUAGGUGGAUUGUUAAGUCAGUUGUGAAAGUUUGCGGCUCAACCGUAAAAUUGCAGUUGAAACUGGCAGUCUUGAGUACAGUAGAGGUGGGCGGAAUUCGUGGUGUAGCGGUGAAAUACUUAGAUAUCACGAAGAACUCCGAUUGCGAAGGCAGCUCACUGGACUGCAACUGACACUGAGGCUCGAAAGUGUGGGUAUCAAACAGGAUUAGAUACCCGGGUAGUC
RNAcentral lists this ribosomal RNA (460 nucleotides) under uncultured bacterium. RNAcentral's name for it is "partial 16S ribosomal RNA". It matches the Rfam family "Bacterial small subunit ribosomal RNA", at positions 338 to 795 of the family's 1533-position model. The record is from RNAcentral.